UAAAAGUGCUAUCCAUCCAUCUUCC
This 25-nucleotide non-coding RNA is filed under the name Rattus norvegicus (Norway rat). Lineage: Eukaryota; Metazoa; Chordata; Mammalia; Rodentia; Muridae. The record is from RNAcentral.